AUGAAAUGCAGCUGGAUCAUCCUCUUCUUGAUGGCACUAGCUACACGUGUCUACUCAGGAGUACAGCUGCAGAAGUCUGGGCCUGAGCUUGUAAUUCCUUGGUCCUCAGUCAAGUUGUCUUGCAAGGCUUCUGACUAUACCUUUACAGAUUCCUAUAUUUACUGGUUGAAGCAGAGGCCUGAACAGAGCCUGGAAUGGAAAGAAAGUAUUGAUUCUGAGGAUGGUGAAAAUGUAUACGCUCAGAAGUUCCAAAGCAAGGCCACACUGACUGCAGAUACAUCUUCCAACACAGUCCACAUGCAAUUCAGCAGCCUGACAUCUGAGGACGCUGCAACCUAUUUUAUUUCAAAGCAAAUGGCAACAGUAAGAGAUACAGCAUUGCUGGAGUAG
Molecule: non-coding RNA, 390 nt
Organism: Rattus norvegicus (Norway rat)
Lineage: Eukaryota; Metazoa; Chordata; Mammalia; Rodentia; Muridae
Source: the annotation of a RefSeq genome assembly